CCAUGCAAGCACCAUGUAAAAUGGUUUUGAAUCGGAACCAAAGCCAUCUGUUGGAAGUAACAUCUGUAGGGACUGAACAUGUAUGUCACUCCCAGUAAUAUAGAGUGAAGGCAAUAAUAACAACAUUGUUUGUUGUUGGUUUAUAAUGGGUGAGUUCCUACUCCUUGGAUUCACCUGUUUAUCGCCUGCACACCUUGGCUAGGAUAUGUUGUUUCUUAAUAUUACCUGCAAGUCUGAAUCUUUUAAUUAUUUGUACAAUAUUUUUCAUUAUAGGAGUAUUGGCCAUCGUUUAUUCUUGGUAUGCACAUCAAAGUUUCAGAUAUUCUUAAUUGUGGAUGUACCUUUAGGAUUUCGUGAAAUAGAUAUGCAUCAUAUAUUGAUGCGUGUCCUAAGCAGCAGAUCAUUACUAUAGUUUAUGUAGUGUCUGAACCUUACAUUAUGUUCCUUCUUUUGAGUUUUCACAUAAAGCUAGGGUGUUCCUAUGUUUAGAGAGUUUAGAUAGAAGGCAAUACUGAACCACCUCCGUUUAUUGUCUCGAUAUGAUCUUUUAACAUUGUUUCUCAACUGUGUUCAAUCUGGCUUAUCAAUAAAAUAUACUCACUGUCAUGCAUUCUGCCUUGAUCCGUUGGCUACAUUUAUUUGGUUGGGUUAGUGCGGGUAUCUGGCCAAGCUACUUGGCUCACUUUCGUUGCCUUUUGCGGGUCCUUUUGUGGGAUGUUGUUGUUAUUCUGGGCCUUAAUGCUCGGAGGAGGGUCAGGGGCAUUUCCUGCACGGGAAGAGGGGCAUCUGUGGGGGUAUUGGCCAGAAGUAGGCAAGGUGAAAAAAACUAGCUUCUAUCUCUGCUACAUCUGAUCAGGCAACUAAAUUUGGUCCCCUUACUCAUUUCUUUUUCACUUACUGUAUGUGAAGCGAUAUAAUUUUAUUUUCAUUAACGCAUCUUAAUAUGUUUUAUCGAUUGGUGAAUGCACAACUUUAGCUCGGCAAAUGCUAAUUCUGAUGGGGCUUUUGCCACUUAUUGUUUUAUGGUUGUUUAGACAGAUGAUGGCAUGCUUCUUUCUUGCUAAUUGUCAAUUCUUUUGUACAGGGUCCCUCAGCUACUUAUGAUUUGCUAGACAAUGUGGGUAUGUAGGUAGCAUGUAUGGUUUUUACAUUGUUUUGCGCAGUUUGAGAUGCAUCACAUGAUGUUUUCUUUUUACAUUUAUGUGUAUUACAGAGUCCUUUCUUUUUCCACAAGGGGCAGUAGCUGUGCCAUUCGAUUCAAAGGACAAAGAGUUGAUCACAAAGGGGUAGCAUUCAGGAUAUAUACACAAAAGAGUAUAGAACCAAAUUAUAUGAUGUAAUUGACCAUUAUUUCUAUUAACUUCUCCUGUACACAAUGUUCACAAGUUCAUAUAUUAAGUAC
RNAcentral lists this long non-coding RNA (1402 nucleotides) under Triticum aestivum (bread wheat). RNAcentral's name for it is "long non-coding RNA (TAES_LNC009876)". The record is from RNAcentral. Lineage: Eukaryota; Viridiplantae; Streptophyta; Magnoliopsida; Poales; Poaceae.